RNAcentral lists this ribosomal RNA (352 nucleotides) under uncultured bacterium. RNAcentral describes it as "bacterial SSU rRNA". It matches the Rfam family "Bacterial small subunit ribosomal RNA", at positions 29 to 395 of the family's 1533-position model. The record is from RNAcentral.
AACGAACGCUGGCGGCAGGCCUAACACAUGCAAGUCGAACGCCGUAGCAAUACGGAGUGGCAGACGGGUGAGUAACGCGUGGGAACAUACCCCUCGGUUCGGAAUAACUCAGGGAAACUUGAGCUAAUACCGGAUACGUCCGAUGUUUUAAUCGACCUUGGAGAAAGAUUUAUCGCCGGAGGAUUGGCCCGCGUCUGAUUAGCUUGUUGGUGAGGUAAUGGCUCACCAAGGCGACGAUCAGUAGCUGGUCUGAGAGGAUGAUCAGCCACAUUGGGACUGAGACACGGCCCAAACUCCUACGGGAGCAGCAGUGGGGAAUAUUGGACAAUGGGCGAAAGCCUGAUCCAGCCAU